UGGGGAAUAUUGGACAAUGGGCGAAAGCCUGAUCCAGCAAUACCGCGUGUGUGAAGAAGGCCUGAGGGUUGUAAAGCACUUUCAAUAGGAAGGAAUACCUAUCGGUUAAUACCCGGUAGACUGACAUUACCUAUACAAGAAGCACCGGCUAACUCCGUGCCAGCAGCCGCGGUAAUACGGAGGGUGCAAGCGGUAAUCGGAAUUACUGGGCGUAAAGCGUGCGUAGGCGGUUUGUUAAGUUAGAUGUGAAAGCCCUGGGCUCAACCUGGGAACGGCAUUUAAAACUGGCAGACUAGAGUUUAGUAGAGGGGAGUGGAAUUUCAGGUGUAGCGGUGAAAUGCGUAGAGAUCUGAAGGAACACCAGUGGCGAAGGCGACUCCCUGGACUAGAACUGACGCUGAGGUACGAAAGCGUGGGUAGCAAACAGG
RNAcentral lists this ribosomal RNA (428 nucleotides) under uncultured bacterium. RNAcentral's name for it is "bacterial SSU rRNA". It matches the Rfam family "Bacterial small subunit ribosomal RNA", at positions 355 to 776 of the family's 1533-position model. The record is from RNAcentral.